UCUUGUAUACUGGCUUAUUUAAAUGAUUAUUUUCCACUUGUGAUUUCCUUCAUCCUUUAUCUUCCUACUUCUUUCCUAUUUAGAGGAAGGCUUCAAUCUUUUUCUUUCUUUCUUUUCUUUUCUUUUCCUUUCUUUCUUUCUUUUCUUUUCUUUUCCUUUCUUUCUUUUCUUUUCUUUUCUUUUCUUUUCUUUCUUUCUUUCUUUCUUUCUUUCUUUCUUUCUUUCUUUCUUUCUUUCUUUCUUUCUUUCUUUCUUUCUUUCUUUCUUCCUCUCUCUCUCUCUCUCUCCCCCCCCCCCCCUCUCUCUCUCUCUCUCUCUCUCUCUCUCGGCCACACCCAUGGCAUAUGGAGGUUCCCAGGCUAGAGGUCCAGUCGCAGCUGCAGUUGUUGCCUACACCACAGCCACAGCAACCAGGGAUCCGAGCCUCAUCUGCGACCUACACCACAGCUCACGGCAACUCGGGAUCCUUAACCCACUGAGAGAGGCCAGGGAUCCAACCUGCAACACCAUGGUUACUAGUUGGGUUCAUUAACCACUGAGUCACAAUGGGAACUCCCCUUUCAAUAUUUCCUUUUAGGAUAGGUUUACUCUUUCUGUAUUCUUUUUUUUUUUUUUUUUUUUUUUGUCUUUUGUCUUUGUUGUUGUUGUUGUUGUUGUUGUUGCUGUUUCUUGGGCCGCUCCCACGGCAUAUGGAGGUUCCCAGGCUAGGGGUCUAAUCAGAGCUGUAGCCACCGGCCUACGCCAGAGCCACAGCAACGCGGGAUCCGAGCCGCGUCUGCGACCUACACCACAGCUCAUGGCAACGCCGGAUCGUUAACCCACUGAGCAAGGGCAAGGACCGAACCCGCAAAUUCAUGGUUCCUAGUCGGAUUUGUUAACCACUGCGCCACGACGGGAACUUCUCUUUCUGUAUUCUUACAGUUUUUGUUUGCCUGAGAAAUUUUUUAUUUCUCCUAUUUUAAAUGAUAAUCUUGGUGGGUAGAGUAUUCCAGGUUGCAAAAUUUUCCCUUUUAGAACUUUUAAUAUAUCUUGCUACUCUCUUCUUUAGACCCACUCUUGUGGUGCUGAGAAUACUUCAUUCUAUCUGAUACUUGUCAGGCAGGGGAGGGACAGAUGUGUUUCUGGAGAUGUUUUCUCUUAUUUUUUCUUUGCUUCUAUGAAAUAAUUUACAAAACCUUGACUUGCUAAUGCAUAUUAAGAGAGUCAAUAUAUAUUUGGCUCUUCUGAGCUGUUGAGGAGUAGUUUGUUAGAAACUUUUGUAUUAUUUUAACAGUAUGAUUUAAAUCACUCCAAUAAAAUGUACAUGAAUGUAUUCUCAUUUCUAAAAAGGAAAAUCAUACUAAAUAAGGCUAAAGUCCCCUUUGAUCAUCCCAAUCUUGAUUCCUUCCCCACUUUCCUCGAGGUUUUCAUGGUUAUCAGUUUGGUGUAUAUCCUUGUAGAGCUUUAUUCUGCACAUCUACAUACAUUUAUAUGUACCCAUGGAAAAUCUGUAGUAUUUGUAUGCAAGUGUCUAUGCAGGUAGCACUGUGUGUCUAUAUGUGUGUUUAAGAACAUGAAAGGUGGGAGUUCCCUGGUGGCCUAGCAGCUAAGGAUCUACAAUUGUCACUGCUGUUGCAUGGGUUUUAUCUCUGGCCCAGGAACUUCUGCAUGUUGUGGGUGCAGCCCAGAAACAAAACCCACAAGAGGUAAUAUACCAUGUCUCAUUCUACAACUUUCUUUUUUCAUUGAACUAAAUAUCUUGGCAAUCUAGCCAUAUCAAUACCUGGAGGCCCACCUCAUUUUUAAAGACUGCUUCAUGGUUGUGGUGGGCAGAGUAAAGCUUCCCUUCCAGAGAUAUCCACACAAUGACCCCUGGAACUUGUGACUGUGUCACCUUACAUGGCAAAGUGGCUGUGUAGAUGGGGUUAAAGGUGAGGGCCAUGAGAUAGGGAAAUUAUUUUGGAUUAUCACGGUCGGCACAGUCAACUCACCAGUCCUUUCCAGUGGAUGAGAAAGACAGAAAGGUAGGUAAGGGAGGAACAAUGUGGAAAGGAUUGCUCUUGCUGGCUUGGAAGAUGGAGGAAGGGGGCCAUGAACCCAGAUAUGCAUGGCCUCUAGAAACCAUGAAUGGGCCUCAGUUUACAGCCAGGAGGAAAAGGGAUCUCUGUUUUAUAACUUCAGGGAGCUGAAUUCUACCAUCAAAGGGAAUGAGUAGGGGCUGAGUUCUCCCCAAGAGCCUCCAGAAGAGACUUGGCCUGCCCUGGUCUUGUGACUUCCAGAACUAUCAAAUAGUACGGUAGUGUUCUUUUAAGUCACUAAGUUUGUAGUAAUUUGUUAUGACAGCGAUAGAAGACUAGUAAUAGAAUGCUGUUCUCUGGUGUGACCAUACCACAUUUAUUUCGCCACCCCUGUUGCUGAGGGAAGUUUAAGUUCCCAAUUUUUCUGUAUUUCCCUUGUGGCUGCCUGAUGGGAGGGGGAGGGAGUGGGAGGGAUCGGGAGCUUGGGCUUAUCAGACACAACUUAGAAUAGAUUUACAAGGAGAUCCUGCUGAAUAGCAUUGAGAACUUUGUCUAGAUACUCAUGUUGCAACAGAACAAAGAGUGGGGGGAAAAAUGUAAUUGUAAUGUAUACAUCUAAGGAUAACCUGACCCCCUUGCUAUACAGU
Molecule: long non-coding RNA, 2644 nt
Filed under: Sus scrofa (pig)
Lineage: Eukaryota; Metazoa; Chordata; Mammalia; Artiodactyla; Suidae
Description: lncRNA (ENSSSCG00000043647.1)
Source: RNAcentral